RNAcentral lists this unclassified non-coding RNA (378 nucleotides) under plant metagenome. RNAcentral's name for it is "partial contains 5.8S ribosomal RNA, internal transcribed spacer 2, and large subunit ribosomal RNA". The stretch from base 1 to 105 matches the Rfam family "5.8S ribosomal RNA", at positions 50 to 154 of the family's 154-position model. The record is from RNAcentral.
GAAAUGCGAUAAGUAAUGUGAAUUGCAGAAUUCAGUGAAUCAUUGAAUCUUUGAACGCACCUUGCGCUCCUUGGUAUUCCUUGGAGCAUGCCUGUUUGAGUAUCAUGAAAUCUUCAAAGUAAAUCUUUUGUUAACUCAAUUGGUUUCUACUUUGGUAUUGGAGGUCUUUGCAGCUUCACACCUGCUCCUCUUUGUUCAUUAGCUGGAUCUCAGUGUUAUGCUUGGUUCCACUCGGCGUGAUAAGUUAUCUAUCGCUGAGGACACUGUAAAAGGUGGCCAAUGUAAAUGCAGAUGAACCGCUUCUAAUAGUCCAUUGACUUGGACAAUACUUUUAUGAUCUGAUCUCAAAUCAGGUAGGACUACCCGCUGAACUUAAGC